This 22-nucleotide microRNA is filed under the name Oreochromis niloticus (Nile tilapia). RNAcentral describes it as "oni-miR-10789". The record is from miRBase by way of RNAcentral. Lineage: Eukaryota; Metazoa; Chordata; Actinopteri; Cichliformes; Cichlidae.
AUCAGUGGACUCAUUUUUUGUU